CAUGCACCAGUUGGGGUCCCUCGGCCUGGCCUGCGGGGAUCGGGCCCAAACCUGCUCUCCGACAUCCCCUGACAGGUCCCGGAUUACGAGAGGGCGCAGGCCAGGCCGAGGGACCCCACUGGUGCAUG
Molecule: non-coding RNA, 128 nt
Organism: Myotis brandtii (Brandt's bat)
Lineage: Eukaryota; Metazoa; Chordata; Mammalia; Chiroptera; Vespertilionidae
Source: Rfam